Molecule: ribosomal RNA, 434 nt
Filed under: uncultured Oscillospiraceae bacterium
Lineage: Bacteria; Bacillati; Bacillota; Clostridia; Eubacteriales; Oscillospiraceae
Description: bacterial SSU rRNA
Rfam family: Bacterial small subunit ribosomal RNA
Source: RNAcentral
ACGGGAGGCAGCAGUGGGGAAUAUUGCACAAUGGGGGAAACCCUGAUGCAGCAACGCCGCGUGAAGGAAGACGGUUUUCGGAUUGUAAACUUCUGUUCUUAGUGAAGAUAGUGACGGUAGCUAAGGAGCAAGCCACGGCUAACUACGUGCCAGCAGCCGCGGUAAUACGUAGGUGGCAAGCGUUGUCCGGAAUUACUGGGUGUAAAGGGAGCGCAGGCGGGAAGCCAAGUCAGCUGUGAAAACUACAGGCUUAACUUGUAGACUGCAGUUGAAACUGGUUUUCUUGAGUGAAGUAGAGGUUGGCGGAAUUCCGAGUGUAGCGGUGAAAUGCGUAGAUAUUCGGAGGAACACCGGUGGCGAAGGCGGCCAACUGGGCUUUAACUGACGCUGAGGCUCGAAAGUGUGGGGAGCAAACAGGAUUAGAUACCCUGGUA